This 252-nucleotide ribosomal RNA is filed under the name uncultured bacterium. RNAcentral's name for it is "partial 16S ribosomal RNA". It matches the Rfam family "Bacterial small subunit ribosomal RNA", at positions 524 to 776 of the family's 1533-position model. The record is from RNAcentral.
UACAGAGGGUGCAAGCGUUAAUCGGAAUCACUGGGCUUAAAGCGUGUGUAGGCGGAUCGUUAAGUGCCUUGUGAAAUCCCACGGCUCAACCGUGGAACUGCUUGGCAUACUGGCGAUCUUGAGCCACUUAGGGCUACCGGAACAAAUGGUGGAGCGGUGAAAUGCGUAGAUAUCAUUUGGAACGCCAAUGGUGAAAACAGGUAGCUGGGAGUGUGCUGACGCUGAGACACGAAAGCCAGGGGAGCAAACGGG